Molecule: non-coding RNA, 24 nt
Filed under: Arabidopsis thaliana (thale cress)
Lineage: Eukaryota; Viridiplantae; Streptophyta; Magnoliopsida; Brassicales; Brassicaceae
Source: RNAcentral
UUUAAAUUUCUAAUCUAAAGGUGA